GAGUGAAAAUGUCAACCCAAAAAAUUAAAAAAAAUAAAAAAACGAAGGCAGAGAGUGCAGCAGUGACGAGGACGACGGCGACACCCUCUUUUUUUUCUGGGUUUUUGGUUUGGGGCUUAUACUUUAUGCACUCGCACUCUGCUACUCCCUUAACAGAAACAAUUGGAGCUCUACGCUCUUAUACUCUUGCAGGUACUUUAGCCCAAUUUGACAAACCCUAAUUUCCAACACUCUGUGGAAAUUCAAGCGGCAAUGCCACUGCAAUUCCCAGUCCCAAAAUUGAGGCUCGAAGAAACCAGCUAGUUUCUGCUCUUCUCAUUCCAAGGAGCGUUCCCGGCCAGGAUAUUUGUGAACAACCACUUACUCCUUGGUGUUUGGAUCUCGCUGGCAUAAUUGUGAGGAUUCUUCAUAGUCAGAGCUAAAGGAAUGAUAUAUAUGUUCAUAUCAUUCAGAAAACUGUAAUGGAAACUGAAGUGUUGGUAGAUGCUGAGGGAGAAAACAUGGAACAUCACGUGGCAGAAAGCAAUGAACCUGAUAAAGGUCAAAAGCAGAAUGUGAAUGAAAAUUUUUCAGGGAGAGAGGUAAAUAUUCAGGAUCAUUCUAAGCCACAUGUGGGAAUGGAAUUCGAGUCGGAGGACGCUGCCAAGAUUCUGUAUGAUGCAUAUGCGAGGAAUGUAGGCUUUAGCACCCAUGUUGGCCAGUUUACUCGUGCUAAGCCUGAUGGACCUAUAGUGACAUGGGACUUUGCAUGUUCGAGAGAGGUAUUCAAACGAAAGAAUGUAGAAAGCUGCAAUGCCAUGCUACGUGUAGAGAGAAAGGAUGCAAACAGUUGGGUUGCGACAAAGUUUGUUGAGGACCACAACCAUUCUAUGGUAAGUCCUAGUAAGGUCCAUUAUCUUCGACCCCGUAGACACUUUGCUGGUGCUACGAAGAAUACAUCUGAGACUUUGGAUGCCACUACUGAUUCAUACUUUUCCAUGGAUGGUAAUCAUGUCUCUUAUGAACCAAAUCGCGGAGGCAGGAGCGUCUCCCCUGUGGAACCAAACCACUCAGCAAGGAUCCUUCGGCCUGUUAACUGUAUAAGGCCGUGUAGCCGAAAGAGAAUGCUUGGGCGAGAUGCUCAAAAUCUUCUAAACUAUUUCAAGAAGAUGCAAGCUGAAAACCCUGGCUUCUUCUAUGCUAUACAGCUUGAUGAUGAAAACCGCAUGACCAAUGUCUUUUGGGUCGAUGCAAGAUCUAGGACAGCUUAUAACCACUUUGGCGAUGCUGUAAUUUUUGAUACAAUGUAUCGACCAAAUCAUUACCAAGUCCCCUUUGCUCCUUUCACUGGUGUAAAUCAUCAUGGUCAGAAGGUCUUGUUUGGUUGUGCAUUACUUCUAGAUGAGUCCGAGUCUAACUUUACAUGGCUGUUUAGGACAUGGCUUUCUGCCAUGAAUGAUCAGCCUCCUGUUUCUAUAACUACAGACCAAGACAGAGCCAUACAAGUAGCAGUUGCUCAGGUUUUUCCAGAAACGCGGCACUGUAUAUGCAAGUGGCAUAUUUUAAGGGAAGGCCAAGAAAGAUUGGCUCAUAUAUAUCUUGCUCAUCCUUCCUUCUAUGGAGAACUUUAUAGUUGCAUCAACUUUUCGGAGACAAUUGAGGAUUUUGAAUCAUCGUGGGCAUCCCUUCUUGAUAGAUACGAUCUACUGAGAAAUGAUUGGCUGCAGGCAGUGUAUAAUGCUCGAAAGCAAUGGGCCCCAGUUUAUUUUCAUGGAACUUUCUUUGCUGCAAUUUCCUCAAAUCAAGGUAUUAGUUCUUUUUUUGAUGGCUAUGUGAAUCAACAAACGAGUAUACCUAUGUUUUUUAAGCAGUAUGAAAGGGCUCUCGAGCAUUCGUUAGAAAAAGAAAUAGAGGCAGAUAUUGAUACAAUGUGCACUACACCUGUACUGAAAACACCUUCACCAAUGGAACAGCAGGCAGCUAACUUGUAUACCAAAAAAGUUUUUGCGAAGUUUCAAGAGGAAUUGGUUGAAACUUUUGUUUAUACUGCAAAUAAGAUUGAGGGUGAUGGGAUAGUCAGUAAAUACAGGGUUGCAAAAUAUGAACAUGAUGAUAAGGCGUAUAUGGUCAUAUUAAAUGUCUCCGAAAUAAAAGCAAGCUGCAGCUGUCAAAUGUUUGAAUAUUCGGGCAUCCUUUGUAGACAUAUUUUGACUGUCUUCACAGUAACAAAUGUUCUUACCCUUCCAUCACAUUACAUAUUGAAGCGAUGGACAAGAAAUGCUAAAUCUUGGGUUGGACUAGAUGAACAAAGUUCAGAUUUGCAAGGUAUUGAGACAUUGACUAUGCGCUUUAACAACCUAUGUCGGGAAGCCAUUAAGUAUGCAGAAGAAGGGGCAGUUGGUGUAGAGACUUACAAUGCGGCAAUGAGUGCUCUACGAGAGGGUGGGAAAAAGAUUGCUGUUGUAAAGAAAAACGUUGCCAAAGUCACGCCUCCUAGCUCUCAGGCAAGUGGAAAUGCACAGGAAGACAGUUUGAAGACAAGCCAAUUGCCACCUGGCGAAAUCGCCCCCUCAUUGUGGCCUUGGCAAGAAGCAUUGCCACAUCGCUUUAAUCUUAAUGAUGGAGGAGUUCCUGCUGCUGAUUUGAACCAGCCCAGCAUGGCUCCUGUCUCCAUUCACCCUGAUGGUGGCAGUCUUGAUAGCACGGUGGUCGUUACUUGUUUCAAGUCCAUGACAUGGAUCAUAGAAAAUAAGAAUUCAACAUCAGCUGGGAAAGUGGCUGUUAUCAACUUGAAGCUACAAGAUUAUGGAAAGAAUCCUGCAGGGGAGAAAGAGGUACAGUUUAGGCUAACAAGGGUUACGCUAGAGCCUAUGUUAAAAUCGAUGGCCUAUAUCAGUCAGCAGCUCUCUGCUCCAGCCAACAGAGUUGCUGUCAUCAAUUUGAAGCUUCAAGAUACAAAGACAACUUCUGGAGAAAUGGAGGUCAAGUUUCAAGUUUCCAGAGAUACACUAGGCUCCAUGUUGAGAUCAAUGACUUACAUACGUGAGCAGCUAUGACAAAUCUGCUCAAGGUUUUCGUACCGUCCAGACCAUCUUGAUAUCUUCAAAACCACACUAGGAUACUUCAGCAAUUUAGCAUUUACAUAUCAUUUCCUACUUAUUGUAUUUAUUCGAGAGCUGCAUUCUGAUGUGAAAGUCUAUAAACAAGAGUUAUUUCAUCUGCUUUGAAGAUGCCUUUACCAAGCUCCGAAGCCAAUAACCGUAUCAAAGUUAUCGAUGUAUGAAAGGCGGCACUAGAGAUAGACAAGUGAGGAUGUGUUGCCCCAUAACCAACGGAUCCGUGUUGAUUGAGUGUUGGAUGAAGAAAUUUGGUUUACUUGUAGUUAGUUGGAGUCUUGUUUAGUUUUAGGUAGGAGGUAUAUAAAUUGUUUCCAUGUAACCGUGUUUUCGUUGUAUUUAUAUGUACAUUGUUAGUUGUGACUGUCCAGAUGCAAUUGAGCCUAGAAUGUUUUCGUUAUAUUUAUGGGAUGUGAUAUUCACAUACCUCAUUUUACUUAUCACACACUUUUCUAAUUUUCGGCCGUCAGAUCGGAUGGAUUGAAGAAGAUCAACGGACAUAAAUGAGUAAGGGAUGUGUGAGAAGUAAUUUGGGAUGUGUGGAUAGCACAUCCCAUAUUUAUAUGCACAUUGUUAGUUGUGAAUGUCCAGAUGCAAUUGAUCCUCGAA
This is an RNA transcript of Pyrus x bretschneideri (Chinese white pear), 3704 nucleotides long. It is a transcript of the gene named protein FAR1-RELATED SEQUENCE 3, with no coding region annotated. The transcript has 8 exons. The record is from RefSeq and is a predicted model, not a curated record. Lineage: Eukaryota; Viridiplantae; Streptophyta; Magnoliopsida; Rosales; Rosaceae.